CCUACGGGAGGCAGCAGUGAGGAAUAUUGGUCAAUGGACGCAAGUCUGAACCAGCCAUGCCGCGUGCAGGAAGACGGCUCUAUGAGUUGUAAACUGCUUUUGUAUGGGGGUAAAUCCCGAUACGUAUAUUGGUUUGCAAGUAUCGUAUGAAUAAGGAUCGGCUAACUCCGUGCCAGCAGCCGCGGUAAUACGGAGGAUUCAAGCGUUAUCCGGAUUUAUUGGGUUUAAAGGGUGCGUAGGCGGUCGGAUAAGUUAGAGGUGAAAUCCCGAGGCUCAACUUCGGAAUUGCAUCUGAUACUGGUAGGCUAGAGAGUAGUAGCGGUAGGCGGAAUGUAUGGUGUAGCGGUGAAAUGCUUAGAGAUCAUACAGAACACCGAUUGCGAAGGCAGCUUACCGAGCUACUUCUGACGUUGAGGCACGAAAGCGUGGGGAGCAAACAGGAUUAGAUACCCCAGUAGUC
Molecule: ribosomal RNA, 460 nt
Filed under: uncultured bacterium
Lineage: Bacteria
Description: partial 16S ribosomal RNA
Rfam family: Bacterial small subunit ribosomal RNA
Source: RNAcentral